Molecule: ribosomal RNA, 465 nt
Filed under: Vreelandella stevensii
Lineage: Bacteria; Pseudomonadati; Pseudomonadota; Gammaproteobacteria; Oceanospirillales; Halomonadaceae
Description: partial 16S ribosomal RNA
Rfam family: Bacterial small subunit ribosomal RNA
Source: RNAcentral
CCUACGGGGGGCAGCAGUGGGGAAUAUUGGACAAUGGGGGCAACCCUGAUCCAGCCAUGCCGCGUGUGUGAAGAAGGCCCUCGGGUUGUAAAGCACUUUCAGUGAGGAAGAACGCCUGGUGGUUAAUACCCAUCAGGAAAGACAUCACUCACAGAAGAAGCACCGGCUAACUCCGUGCCAGCAGCCGCGGUAAUACGGAGGGUGCGAGCGUUAAUCGGAAUUACUGGGCGUAAAGCGCGCGUAGGUGGCUUGAUAAGCCGGUUGUGAAUGCCCCGGGCUCAACCUGGGAACGGCAUCCGGAACUGUCAAGCUAGAGUGCAGGAGAGGAAGGUAGAAUUCCCGGUGUAGCGGUGAAAUGCGUAGAGAUCGGGAGGAAUACCAGUGGCGAAGGCGGCCUUCUGGACUGACACUGACACUGAGGUGCGAAAGCGUGGGUAGCAAACAGGAUUAGAUACCCUAGUAGUC